Molecule: ribosomal RNA, 466 nt
Filed under: uncultured bacterium
Lineage: Bacteria
Description: partial 16S ribosomal RNA
Rfam family: Bacterial small subunit ribosomal RNA
Source: RNAcentral
GAUGAACGCUGGCGGCGUGCUUAACACAUGCAAGUCGAACGGAAAGGCCCAAGCUUGCUUGGGUACUCGAGUGGCGAACGGGUGAGUAACACGUGGGUGAUCUGCCCUGCACUUCGGGAUAAGCCUGGGAAACUGGGUCUAAUACCGGAUAGGACCACAUUUUGGAUGGUGUGGUGGAAAGUUUUUCGGUGUGGGAUGAGCUCGCGGCCUAUCAGCUUGUUGGUGGGGUAAUGGCCUACCAAGGCGUCGACGGGUAGCCGGCCUGAGAGGGUGUACGGCCACAUUGGGACUGAGAUACGGCCCAGACGCCUACGGGAGGCAGCAGUGGGGAAUAUUGCACAAGGGGCGCAAGCCGGAUGCAGCGACGCCGCGUGGGGGAGGACGGCCUUCGGGUUGUAAACGCCUUUCGCUAGGGACGAAGCGUUAUGUGACGGUACCUGGAGAAGAAGCACCGGCUAACUACGUG